This 634-nucleotide ribosomal RNA is filed under the name uncultured Bacteroidota bacterium. RNAcentral describes it as "bacterial SSU rRNA". It matches the Rfam family "Bacterial small subunit ribosomal RNA", at positions 677 to 1312 of the family's 1533-position model. The record is from RNAcentral. Lineage: Bacteria; Pseudomonadati; Bacteroidota.
AGCGGUGAAAUGCUUAGAUAUGACACAGAACACCAAUCGCGAAGGCAGCUCACUAAACUGUAACUGACGCUCAUGCACGAAAGCGUGGGGAUCAAACAGGAUUAGAUACCCUGGUAGUCCACGCUGUAAACGAUGUAUCACUGCGAUGUUGGCGAUACACUGUCAGCGUCUAAGCGAAAGCAUUAAGUGAUCCACCUGGGGAGUACGGCCGCAAAGGUUGAAACUCAAAGGAAUUGACGGGGGCCCGCACAAGCGGAGGAGCAUGUGGUUUAAUUCGAUGAUACGCGAGGAACCUUACCUGGGCUAGAACGCAAGACGAUUUCCCGUGAAAGCGGGAUUCCCUUCGGGGCAGCUUGCGAGGUGCUGCAUGGUUGUCGUCAGCUCGUGCCGUGAGGUGUCGGGUUAAGUCCCAUAACGAGCGCAACCCCUAUCAUUAGUUGCCAUCAGGUCAUGCUGGGGACUCUAGUGAAACUGCCUACGCAAGUAGAGAGGAAGGUGGGGAUGACGUCAAAUCAGCACGGCCCUUACGUCCAGGGCUACACACGUGUUACAAUGGUCGGUACAAUGGGUCGAUACCUGGUGACAGGAUGCCAAUCUCAAAAACCGAUGUCAGUUUGGAUCGAAGUCUGCAACU